RNAcentral lists this unclassified non-coding RNA (378 nucleotides) under plant metagenome. RNAcentral's name for it is "partial contains 5.8S ribosomal RNA, internal transcribed spacer 2, and large subunit ribosomal RNA". The stretch from base 1 to 105 matches the Rfam family "5.8S ribosomal RNA", at positions 50 to 154 of the family's 154-position model. The record is from RNAcentral.
GAAAUGCGAUAAGUAAUGUGAAUUGCAGAAUUCAGUGAAUCAUCGAAUCUUUGAACGCACCUUGCGCUCCUUGGUAUUCCUUGGAGCAUGCCUGUUUGAGUAUCAUGAAAUCUUCAAAGUAAAUCUUUUGUUAACUCAAUUGGUUUCUACUUUGGUAUUGGAGGUCUUUGCAGCUUCACACCUGCUACUCUUUGUUCAUUAGCUGGAUCUCAGUGUUAUGCUUGGUUCCACUCGGCGUGAUAAGUUAUCUAUCGCUGAGGACACUGUAAAAGGUGGCCAAGGUAAAUGCAGAUGAACCGCUUCUAAUAGUCCAUUGACUUGGACAAUACUUUUAUGAUCUGAUCUCAAAUCAGGUAGGCCUACCCGCUGAACUUAAGC